GGUGUUCUUUAUGUUCCCUACAGGAGCUGCCGAUACAAAGGCCUGACCCAGAAGAAAUUCUGCGUCACCUGUACCAUCAAGAUCAAGAUCACCCGUCAUUGCUAGCUUGGAGUGUUGACAUUGACAGCUUUUGAACAUUUGUGGAGCAGAGGUGCACCAUGGCUUGCCACAAUGUCACAACUGGUCCUUGGAGAGCCGCUGGUGGUGACGGGCUGCCUGUGUCCUCUCUGCGGCAAAACUCCACAAAUACUCCACUCACCAAGUUCCAGAGGGAGAGGAUCACCAGACACCACCGGCCGUACUAAAGGAAGUUGCUCUAUGUAGGGAUGGAACAUGGCAUCUGCACCAGCUGGGACACACUUAGCCAACU
This is a long non-coding RNA of Portunus trituberculatus (swimming crab), 370 nucleotides long. RefSeq lists it as uncharacterized. NCBI's taxonomy places the organism in Eukaryota, Metazoa, Arthropoda, Malacostraca, Decapoda, Portunidae. The record is from RefSeq and is a predicted model, not a curated record. The transcript has 3 exons.